RNAcentral lists this RNase P RNA (375 nucleotides) under Bifidobacterium longum. Its description in RNAcentral is "RNase P RNA component class A". It matches the Rfam family "Bacterial RNase P class A". From Rfam's summary of the family: Ribonuclease P (RNase P) is a ubiquitous endoribonuclease, found in archaea, bacteria and eukarya as well as chloroplasts and mitochondria. Its best characterised activity is the generation of mature 5'-ends of tRNAs by cleaving the 5'-leader elements of precursor-tRNAs. The record is from RNAcentral. Lineage: Bacteria; Bacillati; Actinomycetota; Actinomycetes; Bifidobacteriales; Bifidobacteriaceae.
UGAGACCUCUUGAUGGCCGCGGCCGUGAUCUUCAUUGGGAUCGGCUGAGGAACUUCCGGGCUCCAUAGAGCACGAUGGCGGAUAACGUCCGCCCAGGGUGACCUGAGAGAUAGCGCAACAGAGAACAGACCGCCCGUCCUCGACGGGUAAGGGUGAAACGGCGGUGUAAGAGACCACCGGGCCUCUGGUAACAGUAGGUCGCAUGGCAAGCCUCAUCGGGAGCAAGGCCAAGCAGAUGGCGGUAAGGGCUGCUCGCCCGUGUCAUCGGGUAGGCUGCUAGAGCCUGGCGGUAACGUCAGGUCGAGAUGGAUGGCCAUCCGUGCCGUGCGUUCGCGCACGGCACGACAGAACCCGGGGGAUAAGAGGUCUCAUUUU